Long non-coding RNA from Amphiprion ocellaris (clown anemonefish), 499 nucleotides. The record is from Ensembl. NCBI's taxonomy places the organism in Eukaryota, Metazoa, Chordata, Actinopteri, Pomacentridae.
CGUAUCUAGUCCAUGUAUAUCUAUGGUCGGCAGGUCUGGUAGCAUCUCUGGCUGCUGUUGACCUUGUUUUUGGAGUAAAACACGGUGGAAGCUGAAUUAGUGAGGAUGACUCCUGCUCCUGUCAUCUCUAAGCUCCUCACACAUCUUUACCUGCACAUGAAGAAAAUCACUCCUGUAGAAUGCAGAUGUUCAGAGGGAGAUGAUGCCACAUCUGGUCCAGCUGAUGGAAGGUCUUGAAGUUCUCUGACUGGCCUCGACUGAAGAUGGUCGUCUCACUGGAUUUAAGAUGCACAAUGAGGGACGUCUGCAGAGACUGAGAAAGAGUCUCACCACAUCCUGACAUGAGGAAAAAGACUUUAUUGAAGACUACAAUGAGAAAAACUAUCAGACAGCAGACGGCUGCAUUCAAGGUGAGCUCUGAACAUUUGAUCUGGAACAGGAAUUCAAUAACGGCAGCAUGAGCUUCAUUUCAGUCUGUAGCUGCUGAAUUCAUGGAUGA